Molecule: long non-coding RNA, 628 nt
Organism: Balaenoptera musculus (blue whale)
Lineage: Eukaryota; Metazoa; Chordata; Mammalia; Artiodactyla; Balaenopteridae
Exons: 2
Source: RefSeq, a predicted model, not a curated record
GAGGAAACGGUCGUGACGGAGGCUACGGCUCAGAGCGGGAAGAACUGAAAUCGCUUUCGGACACCUCCUUCCCUUUCCCUCCUCGUUGUCGGUCAGAUGCACUAGGCUGAAUCAUUUUUUUAGAGGCUGGACCCUAUCCAAGGCCGUGGCGGCUUGAGCUGGAUUCUAUUUUGUCCUUUGGGCAAAACGGGAGAGAUGGCGGCGCCCGUGAGCCACGACGGAGGAGCAGCAAGGGGGCGGCCAUCUUACAGGAAGUGCAGUUCCGUUCGGCAGAGACCCGAGGAGCGAGUGUUAGGAGGAAACUUGGGACGGUCAACGAAGUUUGCAGGAGGUGAGACACGUUGUGAAGGCGGCGGUCAGGUCCUGGACAAAACACGGAAACUUCGAGUCCUGGUGAAAUUUGGGAAAGAGUGCUCAGAACAAAAACUUGAACAGAAGUUUUCAAUAACGGACUAUUAAAUGAAUAACUGAAUUUGGCUUGCAAGAUACAGUAUUCUCUUCGUCAAGGUUCUGUGCUGCUCAGUGAAAAUUAAAUACAGCAAAGGUGCAAGAGAAUGUUUAUAUGUGCUGCUUUUUGAAAAGAAAAGGGACAAAAAGUAGUAUCUACUUGCUUGUACUGCCAAAAAAA